This 1242-nucleotide long non-coding RNA is filed under the name Coturnix japonica (Japanese quail). RNAcentral describes it as "lncRNA (ENSCJPG00005000170.1)". Lineage: Eukaryota; Metazoa; Chordata; Aves; Galliformes; Phasianidae. The record is from RNAcentral.
GAGUGGGGUAUGGGGCUGGAGGGGGGUUAUGAGGGCCAGGGGUUAUGGGGCUGGGGGGGGCGCUAUGGGGCCAGGGGGGGCCGCUAUGGGGUCGGAGGGCUCCGCUAUUGGGGCAGGGGGGGUCUCCUUGGGGUCACAGGCUCCGCUAUGGGGCAGGAGGGGCCGCUGUGGGGCCGCUAUGGGGCGAUGUGGGGCCGGCGGGCAUCGCUAUUGGGGCAAAAGAAUGGGUCCCCUAUGGGGCCGGGGGGGGCCGCUAUGGGCUGGUGGGCUCUGCUAUAGGGCAGUGGGGGGUCUCGUUUGGGCGUCAGAGGGCUCCGCUAUGGGGCGGGGGGGUCGAUAUGGGUUGGAGGGCUCCGCUAUGGGGCUGGGCGGUGGCAGCUGGGGGGCGCGGCGGACGAUGCCCAAAGUGGAGGGUGGGGGGGAUGUGUGGGGCGGGAUGUGGGGCUGGUGUGGGGCUGGAUGGUGGGGCUGGAUGUGGGGCUGGAUGUGGGCGGAUGUGGGGGCGCUGCUGGGCCCCCCGGGUUGUGGGGCAGAACCAGGAGCGGGAUGAGAUCCGGGAACGGGUCAACUUGUCUGCCUUCGGGAGUCCCAUCGCUAUGGGAGAUUGGGGGGCAGGGGGAGGACAUUUGACCCACAAGCACAAUACAGACCCAGCCCCAUAUCCCAGCCCCACAUCCCUGUACCCCACAUCUCAGCCCCAUACUCUCAGCCCACAUCCGAUAUCCCCCCAGCGCCCAACAUCCCAUGGCCUUAUAUUCCAACCCCAUAUCCGUGUAUCACUCCCCAGCCCCACAUCCCAGCCCUAUAUCCCUAUACCCCCCAGCCCCAUAUCCCAGUACCUCCCCCCUAGCUCCACUUCACCCCCAGCCCCACAUCCCAGCCCCAUAUCCCACCCAAUAUCCCCCCCAGCCCCAUAUAUCAACCCCACAUCCCAGUACCCCCCUCCAGCCCACAUUCUCUCUUGCCCCAUAUCCCAGCCCCAUGUAUUCCCUGUAAUACCCCUCCGCAAUCUCUCACAGUCCCAGCCAGCAUAUUUUCCAGCCCCAUACCAGCCCCACAUUUCCCAGGCUCCCAUAUCCCUAUACCUCUCCCCAGCCCAUCCCAUCCCAUCCCAUCCUAAUAUCCCUGUACCGCCCAUUAUCCCAGCCCCAUAUCCUAUACCCCUCCAACCCUCACAAUCCCAGCCCACAUCCCAGCCCCAAUAUCCCCAUACCCCUGUACCCCCCCCCCAGCACCCACAUC